GCGUUUUGAGUCUGUUACCGCGGCCGGUGAGUACACCGUGGGCACUGCUGUACGCGGUACACGGAAUCGUGCUAUACCGGUACACGGCAUGUCGCUGACGUUUCGUUGAAGGCCGCGCACGUGUCGCUACAGCUAGGGCGCGCGCUUAGCUAGAUGGUGAGUACGCUCCCAGGCGACGAUGCGUCAGCGACCGAGAGGUGAUCGCCACACAUGGACUGAGACACGGCCCACAUCCACGGAGCGCGUAGGACUCCGCAUGACGAAGUCUACGAGCACGACCCGUGAACGAAGAAGCUCCGUCGUAAGCCCGUCGUUUAGGAAGACAGUAGCCCGACUGCGAACUGAGGCCUACAGAAGACACGCUAUACACAUGCACGCACCCCGAUACUACAAGUGCACGUUGCAGCAAUUUUUCGAAUCCGCCACGGGUCAUAUCGUUUGUAUUACCGCCCAGUCUUCAGGCGGAACGUAUCGCGGUCA
This 480-nucleotide ribosomal RNA is filed under the name Bacillus sp. R72. RNAcentral's name for it is "partial 16S ribosomal RNA". Lineage: Bacteria; Bacillati; Bacillota; Bacilli; Caryophanales; Bacillaceae. The record is from RNAcentral.